CACGCAAGUUGUUGCUCGAGUCGAAAAGUUUACUCUUGAAAGAUUUCAUCUACACCAUGAACUUCUCUGUCAAAUUUGUUUGCGUCAUUUUCGCCAUCCUUCUGAUUGGUCUUCUGGCCGUUGACCACGUGUCCGCCAUGCAUAUGGGACAAAGAGGCAACAACGGCGUCAUGGAACUUCUUGUAGCUGGGCUCAUCGCCAAGCUUCUUCAAGAACAACACCACCAUCAUGGUUAAAUCUCAUCAUAAAGCAUAGCCUCAAGUUUAUAAUGUAGUUUAUAGUCAAUUAAAAUAUAUUUGUAUUUGUAACUAUGCAUACGCUCAGCCCUACAAACGCAACAUUCUAUGUAAAUUAACCAAAUGAGCAUUGUACGCAUGGUGCAGAUCCCUUGAAAAUAUUUUGUAAAUCCAAUUGUACAUAUUUUCAUGUGUAUAAUAAAAAUAUAAUUCAUUUCAA
Molecule: long non-coding RNA, 456 nt
Organism: Argiope bruennichi
Lineage: Eukaryota; Metazoa; Arthropoda; Arachnida; Araneae; Araneidae
Exons: 2
Source: RefSeq, a predicted model, not a curated record